Zea mays is the source of this 888-nucleotide RNA transcript. It is a transcript of the gene named DUF716 - DUF3774 pseudogene, with no coding region annotated. The transcript has a single exon. Lineage: Eukaryota; Viridiplantae; Streptophyta; Magnoliopsida; Poales; Poaceae. The record is from RefSeq and is marked validated.
GCGAUGCUCUCAGGCCUCGGCCUAUGGCACCUCUUCAACCACAUGAGGCUCUUGGUCUCCCUCGCCCCGACCCCGUCGUCCUCAUCGUCGCGCGUCGUCGUCCUCGCGCCGGCAGCAUGGUUCCCGGCGCCACGGGGUGCGUCGCCUCGAGCCCAUCGCCAUGCUGGCCGCGGGAGCGUACGGGCUGGCCACCCAGAUGCUCGCCUACUCGCCGAUGCCGUUCCGCGCCGACGGCUCCAUCCCGCCUGAGCGGCUGCCGAACCACGAGCACGCCAUCAUCUACGCCUCGCUCCUCGUCUACACCAGCUCCAACAUAUACCUGGACGACGACGACGACCGCGCCACGCGGCGCCGGCGCCGACGACGCUCUCCAUGCUCCUCCUGGCAGCGCUCUUCGCGCAGGAGCUGUUCGUGUUCCACGUCCACUCCUCCACCGACCACGCCGGCGUAGUUCCAGCGGCAGAGGCCUGCCUGGUCCUUGAGCGCCUCCACCGCGCCGACGCUCAUCGCCACCAUCCACGACGCCCUCGCUGCCGCCGCCAUGUCCGGAUUCUCCUACCGCUCGGAUCUUGGGCUCUUGCUUUUGAGUUCGGUUGCUGUGCUGGUCGCUGAUUGACUCGCAGUAGUGCUCCUCUGAGGUUGUGUUGAUGCUCCUGUGCUGUGUAUUGGGGCUUGGGAGUGAGCUGGGAGACCGGCGGGUGGGUUAUAUACCGGAGGGAGGCCGGCGGAAACAGGUGGCCGCGGACGCUGGUUUUGCUGGACACCGGGGGCUCUCAGUCUCCCUGCUUGUUUACGCUUUCUCCAGAGCUGUUUCGCUGGAUACCAGGGGCUCUCACUCACCACUGUCCGUGCUUGUUUACACUUUAUCCACAGUUCUGGAGAGAAGAA